This 73-nucleotide transfer RNA is filed under the name Stegodyphus mimosarum. It matches the Rfam family "tRNA". Rfam says of the family: Transfer RNA (tRNA) molecules are approximately 80 nucleotides in length. Their secondary structure includes four short double-helical elements and three loops (D, anti-codon, and T loops). The record is from Rfam by way of RNAcentral. Lineage: Eukaryota; Metazoa; Arthropoda; Arachnida; Araneae; Eresidae.
GCCUUCGUGGUGUAAUGGUCAGCACACUGAGCCGGUAUUUCAGAGGUCCGCGGUUCGAUUCCCGGCGCAGGCG